CCAGUCAGCAUAUGGGUGUUUCUUCAGUGUGAAGAGAGCUCGAAAAAGAGGAAUUGAAGGUCAGAUUCCCAUCCGAGAGUAAAGAACAAAAAAUCUUAUGAUAUAUCUAAAGGAAUUUGGGGGCACAGAACAGAAAGCAAUCUUAUGAAACCUAAAAAGCUUGAAAAUGAAGAGAAAGAUGGAAAAUCUAAGAUCUGCUCGAAGAUUUUUCUCGUACACCACUAGUCAGCCUAAAGAUGGAUUGUAAACUCGAGCAUCA
This 259-nucleotide long non-coding RNA is filed under the name Elaeis guineensis (African oil palm). RNAcentral's name for it is "long non-coding RNA (EGUI_LNC043822)". Lineage: Eukaryota; Viridiplantae; Streptophyta; Magnoliopsida; Arecales; Arecaceae. The record is from RNAcentral.